UCCAGUGCAGUGUUUCCCUUUUCUGGGAAGUCAGAGACAGCAUGUGUUUAUAUGCACAGCAAGGCUGAUGUGCACUGGAUUUAUGGCACAAAAAUGGAUAUGCAGUGUCUCCAGUGACUCUACACCAGAGAGGGAAAGAGAUAAAAAAAUUUGAGGACUCUCCUGUAACUACAUCAUUACUACAAAGUAAAUGGACUUUUUUUCUGCUGGAUGGUAAACUUAUGUUGAGAACAGUCAUAGCCAGCAAGAAAAGUCUUGAGAUCAACUCUCAUAUCUCAUCUCAUCUUGUCUCAGUCUCUGCAGAGUGAAAUUAGCACAUUCUAACCAGUUCUCAUCAUGGUACAGUGCAAGAGGAACUUCAAGAAUGUGUUUCACACAGUGAAGUUGUGCUUCCAGGAAAUGUUGUUCCUUGUAUGAUAAUUUAUAAGGAUGUAAAAGUGAACUUUACAUUUAAAGCGAGUGAAAAAUGAAACUGAAGAAGGAGGUUUUGUGCUGACCUUAGACCAGACAUCUGCCAGAGGAGUCACCUAGUACAAGCUCCAACCCCAUGCACAUAGUUGAAAAUGCUUUGGAAAGAAAAGUGAUAAAUUGGUUCUGGGCCACUGGAUGAUUUUCCUCAUUGUGAUGAUCUGCUAGGUGUACUUUGCAUCAGCAGGGUUGUGCAGGAUGUUGGGAUCUGGUCAGCCUCUUCAAGAGAGGAAAAACUUGUAUACCUGAAAAAAGCUUGUAAGAUUUUUCAACUAAUGGAGAAAUGUAAGCAAUUUCAACUAAUGGAGAAAUUUUAGGAUUUAGAUCUUCACUGGAAGUUCUUCUUUAUGCAUUGAUAUUCAGCAAAUAUGUGACAAAUAUUUGAGUUAAUACCCUGAUUUAUGUAAUUUCUACAGAAAUUAAUUUGAAAUAUCAAUUGCAAGAUUACUUACCCACCUGCUGUCUUACUGCUUGAGAAUAAUGUUUAUGUUCCCUUUGGUCAGAUUCUUCCCUCUCUGGAGAGAACAUGUUGUAACUUCCAGGUUGAUUAUCAAUUAAACUGGAACUAAAGAGCA
This is a long non-coding RNA of Zonotrichia leucophrys gambelii, 1043 nucleotides long. RefSeq lists it as uncharacterized. The transcript has 4 exons. NCBI's taxonomy places the organism in Eukaryota, Metazoa, Chordata, Aves, Passeriformes, Passerellidae. The record is from RefSeq and is a predicted model, not a curated record.